RNAcentral lists this ribosomal RNA (497 nucleotides) under uncultured bacterium. RNAcentral describes it as "partial 16S ribosomal RNA". It matches the Rfam family "Bacterial small subunit ribosomal RNA", at positions 28 to 507 of the family's 1533-position model. The record is from RNAcentral.
GAUGAACGCUUGCGGCGUGCCUAAUACAUGCAAGUCGAGCGAACGGACGAGAAGCUUGCUUCUCUGAUGUUAGCGGCGGACGGGUGAGUAACACGUGGAUAACCUACCUAUAAGACUGGGAUAACUUCGGGAAACCGGAGCUAAUACCGGAUAAUAUUUUGAACCGCAUGGUUCAAAAGUGAAAGACGGUCUUGCUGUCACUUAUAGAUGGAUCCGCGCUGCAUUAGCUAGUUGGUAAGGUAACGGCUUACCAAGGCAACGAUGCAUAGCCGACCUGAGAGGGUGAUCGGCCACACUGGAACUGAGACACGGUCCAGACUCCUACGGGAGGCAGCAGUAGGGAAUCUUCCGCAAUGGGCGAAAGCCUGACGGAGCAACGCCGCGUGAGUGAUGAAGGUCUUCGGAUCGUAAAACUCUGUUAUUAGGGAAGAACAUAUGUGUAAGUAACUGUGCACAUCUUGACGGUACCUAAUCAGAAAGCCACGGCUAACUACGUG